This 492-nucleotide ribosomal RNA is filed under the name uncultured bacterium. RNAcentral describes it as "partial 16S ribosomal RNA". It matches the Rfam family "Bacterial small subunit ribosomal RNA", at positions 29 to 507 of the family's 1533-position model. The record is from RNAcentral.
AGUGAACGCUGGCGGUAGGCCUAACACAUGCAAGUCGAACGGCAGCACAGUAAGAGCUUGCUCUUACGGGUGGCGAGUGGCGGACGGGUGAGGAAUACAUCGGAAUCUACUUUUUCGUGGGGGAUAACGUAGGGAAACUUACGCUAAUACCGCAUACGACCUACGGGUGAAAGCAGGGGAUCUUCGGACCUUGCGCGAUUGAAUGAGCCGAUGUCGGAUUAGCUAGUUGGCGGGGUAAAGGCCCACCAUGGCGACGAUCCGUAGCUGGUCUGAGAGGAUGAUCAGCCACACUGGAACUGAGACACGGUCCAGACUCCUACGGGAGGCAGCAGUGGGGAAUAUUGGACAAUGGGCGCAAGCCUGAUCCAGCCAUACCGCGUGGGUGAAGAAGGCCUUCGGGUUGUAAAGCCCUUUUGUUGGGAAAGAAAAGCAGCAGGUUAAUACCCCGCUGUUCUGACGGUACCCAAAGAAUAAGUACCGGCUAACUUCGUG